Non-coding RNA from Lysinibacillus macroides, 179 nucleotides. The record is from Rfam. Lineage: Bacteria; Bacillati; Bacillota; Bacilli; Caryophanales; Bacillaceae.
AGUGAUGAUAGAGGUGCAAGGUUCAAAAGUAACGCGAUUGAGGAUGAACAAAUCCAAGGAUAUUGUGUGAAAGGGGAGCUUGCCGAAGUACAGCAUUGUUGUUUCCAUUGUUGUACUGGUUUUGCAUUUAAGAGAUGUAAGACUGUCGAUUCUAAACGUUUCGGAGAGCUAUCACACAU